GCAAACUUGGUCAUUUAGAGGAAGUAAAAGUCGUAACAAGGUUUCCGUAGGUGAACCUGCGGAAGGAUCAUUACACACUGUGCCAUACCUGCAGGUUUCGUACCUGCAGGUAUAGCUCAGCCCACCCUUGUCUAACUUUACCAUUUGUGAAUCCCUCGGCAGGGACGCCUGCCGCCGGGACCCCUAAACCCUACUGUAUUCAAGUAUCAAAAUAUUCUGAAUUAAAACAAAAUUAUCACAACUUUCAACAAUGGAUCUCUUGGUUCUGGCAUCGAUGAAGAACGCAGC
This 288-nucleotide unclassified non-coding RNA is filed under the name uncultured fungus. Its description in RNAcentral is "partial contains small subunit ribosomal RNA, internal transcribed spacer 1, and 5.8S ribosomal RNA". The stretch from base 1 to 73 matches the Rfam family "Eukaryotic small subunit ribosomal RNA", at positions 1759 to 1831 of the family's 1831-position model. Lineage: Eukaryota; Fungi. The record is from RNAcentral.